AGCUCUGAAACCCAUCCCCAAUAAUGCCAACUCGAGCUCCAAUCCUCCUUUAUUCCUCAUCACGUGCCCUUCCACACGAUUGUGUACGAGAAAGGUUAUGAAACCUUCUAAGAUAGUCCUAGCUGUCUCCUCUCAACGGAUCAAUCUCAUGAAAUGCAGUAACAGUAGUAUGAUUUUGUACAUAUGUGGAUAAUUCUCGUUGGUUCUGGAGGACGAUUUGUUUUUCUAAAACUCGAUUGGUCCAUAUUUUUCUUUUCGGGGGGAAGAAUCCAAGAUUUGGUGCGAAACAGGAUUGAAAAUAGGAUUUUUUAGGGGGGAUUUCAAUUUUUGAAUCUCAAAAAGCGCCAUCGAAAUCCUUAAUCUAUCCCUAAAGGAAGCCCUCAUCGAUUUCUCUAUAAAAUGGCUGAGGUUAGUUAUCGAGGGGGUUUUUUAUUUUUCUUUUUGGAUUUUUGGGGUGGGGUUAGAAAUCUUGGUUGAAGAUUAGAUGUUUAGAGACAAGAUUUUGAAAGAAACUGAAGGAAAAUUUUUCUUAAGCUGGUUCGAAAGGAUGAUUAGAAGUUGGGUUGGGGAUUUUGAAAUCAAAGAAGUUUAUUUCGUGAAAAAUUUGCUCGUCCAUUUCUUUUUAGGAAGCUAGUUGAUUAAUUAGGAAUUCCCGAGUCGACAACAUCAAUUCCCAGUGGUGACGACUUUACUGAUAGCUCAUCGUCCCGCUUGCUGCUCUGGAACAGAAAGUGAUGGCUGUUUAGGGUCGUUUCUGGAUGUGUUUUAAUCAUAUCCCUGUAUAGCCUACCAAGUCCAGAUUGUCAGGUUUUCUAUAUCGUUUCUUUCUGGACUUUUCCUUUCAUCUAAGUUUUGUCCUUGGCUUUCAAUUUUCUGUUCGCAGCUCGGAUUGACAACAUUCUAUUCGUAGGUCAUACUUGAUGUGGUUUUGAUGGUCGUUAUUAGUCUAAUGUGAGGCUCAUAAGUUGGGGUGCAAUUAAAUCUAUGUUGGUUUAAUGAAUUGCUUGUAUCAAAUCUGGGUAUCUUUUGCCUUAAUUUGCUCUUUAUUGUUGUGUAUAACACUGUUAUUAUACUAACGGGAUAUCAGAUACGUUUUCAUGUUUAGCAUUGUUUCUAGACGUUUCGCC
Molecule: long non-coding RNA, 1127 nt
Filed under: Capsicum annuum
Lineage: Eukaryota; Viridiplantae; Streptophyta; Magnoliopsida; Solanales; Solanaceae
Description: long non-coding RNA (CANN_LNC009863)
Source: RNAcentral